RNAcentral lists this transfer RNA (73 nucleotides) under Bos taurus (domestic cattle). It matches the Rfam family "tRNA". Rfam says of the family: Transfer RNA (tRNA) molecules are approximately 80 nucleotides in length. Their secondary structure includes four short double-helical elements and three loops (D, anti-codon, and T loops). Lineage: Eukaryota; Metazoa; Chordata; Mammalia; Artiodactyla; Bovidae. RNAcentral also lists the same sequence under 4 other names. The record is from Rfam by way of RNAcentral.
UCGCUGGUGGUCCAGUGGUUAGGACUCUGUGCUGCCAAUGCGGAGGGCACAGGUUCAAGCCCUGGUUGGAAAA